This 482-nucleotide ribosomal RNA is filed under the name uncultured bacterium. Its description in RNAcentral is "partial 16S ribosomal RNA". It matches the Rfam family "Bacterial small subunit ribosomal RNA", at positions 30 to 507 of the family's 1533-position model. The record is from RNAcentral.
AUUGAACGCUGGCGGCAUGCCUUACACAUGCAAGUCGAACGGUAACGGGCCUUCGGGUGCCGACGAGUGGCGAACGGGUGAGUAAUACAUCGGAACGUGCCCGAUCGUGGGGGAUAACGAGGCGAAAGCUUUGCUAAUACCGCAUACGAUCUACGGAUGAAAGCAGGGGACCGCAAGGCCUUGCGCGGACGGAGCGGCCGAUGGCAGAUUAGGUAGUUGGUGGGAUAAAAGCUUACCAAGCCGACGAUCUGUAGCUGGUCUGAGAGGAUGAUCAGCCACACUGGAACUGAGACACGGCCCAGACUCCUACGGGAGGCAGCAGUGGGGAAUUUUGGACAAUGGGCGCAAGCCUGAUCCAGCCAUGCCGCGUGCAGGAUGAAGGCCUUCGGGUUGUAAACUGCUUUUGUACGGAACGAAAAGCCUUCUUUUAAUACAGGGGGGUCAUGACGGUACCGUAAGAAUAAGCACCGGCUAACUACGUG